This 1727-nucleotide long non-coding RNA is filed under the name Calidris pugnax (ruff). RNAcentral's name for it is "lncRNA (ENSCPUG00000008733.1)". Lineage: Eukaryota; Metazoa; Chordata; Aves; Charadriiformes; Scolopacidae. The record is from RNAcentral.
GCUUAUAUGAAUCCCAUAGCUAUGGCCAGAGCACGAGGUCCUGCCCAGAACUCGGGACCGACCAUACAAGACUACUUGAACAGGCCGAGGCCAACAUGGGAAGAAGUGAAAGAACAACUAGAAAAGAAAAAGAAAGGAUCCAGGGCUCUGGCUGAGUUUGAAGAAAAGAUGAAUGAGAAUUGGAGGAAAGAACUGGAAAAACACAGAGAGAAAUUACUGGGUGGAAGCGAGAGUUCCUCCAAAAAGAAGGAGGUGAGUUAUUUUCAAUUUGGUACAAUCUGUGUUAGGAACUAGAUUUAUUGUUGAUGCUGCCAAUACAGAUGUCAUAAAUGCAUUUUAAAAGCCAGUAUCUCAAAGGACAUGAAACUAAAUGCACAGCAAAAGAACAUGAUGCCAAGUAACAUUUGUUUUAUUCUGUUUUUAAGAAAAAGAAAAAGGAAAAGAAGAAAUCUAAUAGGGUGAGCAAAAUUUUUGGUUUUCUGAGUUUUUUGCUUUGAUGUUGUUCCUAUUUGUCAUUUAAGCUCUUGGAAAGAGAAAGUAUAGCCGUAAUUUUGAAUUUAGCUGUUAAAUUGAUUUUUAUUUGAGAGAGAUGGCUUACAUUCUAUACAAGGAGAAUUUUACUUCUGCUUAAGGGGAGGAAAAGAGCAUGAAAUACAUAUUAUUAAAUGAAAAAUGUUAGAAGUCACUUUUUACAGUUUUAUUUAAGAAAAUUUAUGUAAUACCAGCUUCUUGGAAGUAAAAUUUCAUUGAUAAUACUUUGCAAAUGAAGAAAUUUUAAAGGAAGUGUUUGGAUGGACUUUUGACUAUUUGCCAGACAAAAUGCUGCAUCUCACAAGCUUCACUUUUUGUUGUGUUUGGUCAAGUUGUCUUCAUCUUCCUCUUCUUCAUCAAGCUCUGAUUCUUCCAGCAGUUCAUCUGAUUCAGAAGAUGAGGAUAAAAAGCAAGGGAAGAAAAAAAGGAAAAAGAAAUAUCGCUCCUCACGGAAAUCUUCAACAAGCUCCACUUCUGAAUCGGAGUCAGACAGCAAGGACAGCACAAAAAAGAAAAGGUCAAAGGAAGAUCAUGAAAAAGAGAAGGAAGGCAAAAAUCACCACAGGAAGAGGAAGAAAGCCAGUCGUGGUGAUGGACCUUUAUCAUCAGAAUCCUUAUCGGAAUCAGAUCAUACAGAGGAGGUGCAAGCAAAAAAGAAGAGAAACAAUGAGGAAAAAGAGAAAACAGCAAGUAUCCUUCUUUACUUAUAGUGUAGUUUUAGGAUAUAAAUGCUCUGUACUUGGUUAAUUUCCAAUUUCACAUUUUUUCAGCAAUACAAAUGUUUUAUAGCAGAAGUCUACUGUCACUUGUAUCUAAAUUUACAAUUUCUCUAUUUACCUGCUGAAGUCACUUUUUCAAUUGUUGAACUAAAAGAAGAAUUUGUCACUAUUUUACCUCAAUACAUGUGUAUGAUUUGAGAUGAUAAAAGUUUGCCGCUGAUUAUAGUACGUUUUGCCCUGUACCAGAGUGGAACUGAUCAGUUCACUACUAGAACCGCCAAGGUCUGUGUGCCUGGGGCAGGGCAGCAGUUUGCCACAGGGUGGGAGUGCUGUUCCUGUGUGUUCCUUGCUCAGCCUCCCUCUACCAGACUGUGAAAGGGGCCUGAGGGCAUAAUCACUGCAACAUCUAGCCUAAUAUAUAUUUUUUUUUUCCCCCAACCAAAUAAAAAGCUGACGGCAGCCUGUUAGUUUUCUCCA